AUUGUUUAACAACUAAGAUUGAUAAUCUAUCAACUAACAUCAAAACACAUUCAAACUCAACUAUGGAAAGUCCCUCAACUUUUAACAGUUUUGCAAAUUAACCCUUGGGCUAGCUAGAUUAAGCUAAAACGAGCUCAAAAACAUAAAAAUCAUUAAAAUCGGGGCUCAAAUACAUACCAUGGAUGAAAAAACUCAAAACCGAAGCUUUCUCCCCC
Molecule: long non-coding RNA, 215 nt
Filed under: Gossypium raimondii (Peruvian cotton)
Lineage: Eukaryota; Viridiplantae; Streptophyta; Magnoliopsida; Malvales; Malvaceae
Description: long non-coding RNA (GRAI_LNC005495)
Source: RNAcentral